RNAcentral lists this transfer RNA (73 nucleotides) under Myotis brandtii (Brandt's bat). It matches the Rfam family "tRNA". From Rfam's summary of the family: Transfer RNA (tRNA) molecules are approximately 80 nucleotides in length. Their secondary structure includes four short double-helical elements and three loops (D, anti-codon, and T loops). Further hydrogen bonds mediate the characteristic L-shaped molecular structure. tRNAs have two regions of fundamental functional importance: the anti-codon, which is responsible for specific mRNA codon recognition, and the 3' end, to which the tRNAs corresponding amino acid is attached (by aminoacyl-tRNA synthetases). tRNAs cope with the degeneracy of the genetic code in two manners: having more than one tRNA (with a specific anti-codon) for a particular amino acid; and 'wobble' base-pairing, i.e. permitting non-standard base-pairing at the 3rd anti-codon position. The record is from Rfam by way of RNAcentral. Lineage: Eukaryota; Metazoa; Chordata; Mammalia; Chiroptera; Vespertilionidae.
GCCGGUGUGGCUCAGUGGAUAGAGCGUUGGCCUGAGGACUGAAGGGUCCCAGGUUCCAAUCCUGUCAAGGGCA